AAAACACUAGUAAAAUACCUAUUACAUUGCCAUGUCAGGGCUACAUUGUGGGUUAAACCCCCACGUGUUUUA
RNAcentral lists this transfer RNA (72 nucleotides) under Linophryne bicornis. RNAcentral's name for it is "tRNA-Asp". The record is from RNAcentral. RNAcentral also lists the same sequence under 2 other names. Lineage: Eukaryota; Metazoa; Chordata; Actinopteri; Lophiiformes; Linophrynidae.